Acanthosepion pharaonis is the source of this 113-nucleotide non-coding RNA. The record is from the annotation of a GenBank genome assembly. NCBI's taxonomy places the organism in Eukaryota, Metazoa, Mollusca, Cephalopoda, Sepiida, Sepiidae.
UACAGCCAUAUCUCAUUGAAACACUGGUUCCUGUAUGAUCACCGAAGUUAAGCAACAUCAAACCUGGUCAGUACCUAGACAAGUGACUGCAUGGGAAUACCAGGUGCUGUAAG